This 718-nucleotide long non-coding RNA is filed under the name Marmota monax (woodchuck). Lineage: Eukaryota; Metazoa; Chordata; Mammalia; Rodentia; Sciuridae. The record is from RNAcentral.
GCCUGGGUGCCCGUGGGCCCUGCCUGUGGCCAUGGGCGUGGGCAGGUCUCUCUGGUCUGCUGAUUCCUAGGCCGGGUCCUCGAGUCAGGCACGGGCAGCGCUCCCAGAUCACACCUGCUUCCCUCUGAAGUGUGCGCUCUGUUAGAAUCACAGCCAUACCCGUGUCAAGGUCAGGUCCUCCACUGGCCCCUUUGGCCUGAGGGACACACACAGGCUGGUUCUGGGUAGGGGUAGAGAGUGGCUGGCUUCCUCCACGUGCCUGCACGGAGCAGCCGCGUUCUGCAGGAAGUGCUGGUCACUGGUUGCUCUGGAUGGAGAGAACCGUGUCCAAAGAGGGGCUGGUGUCACCAGAGUCACCUUGCCUGACCCGAAGACAGCUAGUAACAGCCAUCCGGCCGUCCUGCUCACUCUGCUGUGGAGUUGGCCACCAGGAAGAUGCCCUGAGAGGAGCCUGCGGAGUGCUGCUGGGGCUGCCCCCGCGCCUCCUGGGCAAACUGGCAAGUGGACCGGUGCCCGGCUGCCCCACAGAUGGGGAGCUCCAGUGUCACCCGAAGGGAGAGUGACAGCAGCGUCAGUGGUCAGGUGUCCACACACACACCUUGGCAGGAGGUGCUGAGCGUAGGUGCCUGCAGCCCCAGUGCUCGAAGGCCAGGAGUUCUGGGUGGCUAGGGCCACACAGGGGCCCGACAACAAGCAGGGCAUCUGGAGGGCAAGCGGG